CUGCUGCCUUCCGUAGGAGUCUGGGCCGUGUCUCAGUCCCAGUGUGGGGGGCCUUCCUCUCAGAACCCCUACGCAUCGUCGCCACGGUGGGCCGUCACCCCGCCGUCUAGCUAAUGCGCCGCAUGCCCAUCCGCCACCGGAUCGCUCCUUUGGCCACCGGAGGAUGCCCUCCGGUGGCGUCACGGGGUAUUAGGCCGCGUUUCCGCGGGUUAUCCCCCUGUGGCGGCCAGGUUGCAUACGUGUUGCUCACCCGUGCGCCGGUCGCCGG
Molecule: ribosomal RNA, 268 nt
Filed under: uncultured bacterium
Lineage: Bacteria
Description: partial 16S ribosomal RNA
Source: RNAcentral